CCUACGGGGGGCAGCAGUGAGGAAUAUUGGUCAAUGGGCGGGAGCCUGAACCAGCCAAGCCGCGUGAGGGAAGAAGGUACAGCGGAUUGUAAACCUCUUUUGUCAGGGAACAAAGGCGGGGACUAGUCCCCGGAUGAGGGUACCUGAAGAAAAAGCAUCGGCAAACUCCGUGCCAGCAGCCGGGGUAAUACGGAGGAUGCGAGCGUUAUCCGGAUUUAUUGGGUUUAAAGGGUGGGCAGGCGGCUUGUUAAGUCAGCGGUAAAAGCCCGGGGCUCACCCCCGGCGAGCCGUUGAAACUGGGGGGCUGGAGUUGGAGAGAGGUACGCGGAAUGCGCGGUGUAGCGGUGAAAUGCUUAGAUAUCGCGCAGAACCCCGAUUGCGAAGGCAGCGUACCGGCUCCACACUGACGCUGAGGCACGAAAGCGUGGGUAUCGAACAGGAUUAGAUACCCUUGUAGUC
Molecule: ribosomal RNA, 459 nt
Filed under: uncultured bacterium
Lineage: Bacteria
Description: partial 16S ribosomal RNA
Rfam family: Bacterial small subunit ribosomal RNA
Source: RNAcentral